UGAGGACCUGAGGCACAGAUGCUAACCAGCUUGCUGGAGAUCACACACUCAUGAGUGGCAGAGUGGGGCUUGGAACCGGGUAGCCUGGCUCUGGAGCCCUCACUCCAUCCACACACCAUGCUGGGACCCAGUCGAGUGACCAGCAGACCGGUUGUGUGGGUUAGGUGGAAUGGUGGAUAUAAACCACACAGCCCAGCUCCUGACCCAUGCUGGGCCCUCAACUUAAUUGCUGCCUAGAGCUCAUAGAAGGAUCUCACAGCACUGCUCCAGGGCACUGAAGCUUACAGUGAAAGCACAUUUUCAGCAAGUACUGAAGAUUGUCUCCACGUUGGCUGGUUUGAAACUGUGAUCUUUUGAAUGUAAUCCAGGAAAGGAAUGGAAAGGAAAGAAGUGCUCAGAAAGCUCCCAGAAGCAUUUUGGCACUCACCAAAGCAGCCGGAAGAUGAAUAACACAGUGGGGAUAGAUGGCUAACAAGAAGCCCCUCUCCGGAUGCCGGCCCCUCUUGGACUUCCCAGCUUCCAGAAUUGUGUAUGUUUAAGCUCAGGCUGGAAAAGGAUCACUGAAAGUCACUUGGAUGGUGUCUCGUGUGUCUGUGAUGAGCUUGCUGUUGCUUUCUUUCUCCUUGACAGAUGAGAAAACAGUGGCUUCAAAGGUUAAACAACUUGUCUUCGAUUGCACAGCUAACAAGAG
Molecule: long non-coding RNA, 691 nt
Filed under: Homo sapiens (human)
Lineage: Eukaryota; Metazoa; Chordata; Mammalia; Primates; Hominidae
Description: long intergenic non-protein coding RNA 486
Source: RNAcentral